Molecule: transfer RNA, 74 nt
Filed under: Calumma nasutum
Lineage: Eukaryota; Metazoa; Chordata; Lepidosauria; Squamata; Chamaeleonidae
Description: partial tRNA-Leu
Rfam family: tRNA
About the family: Transfer RNA (tRNA) molecules are approximately 80 nucleotides in length. Their secondary structure includes four short double-helical elements and three loops (D, anti-codon, and T loops).
Source: RNAcentral
ACUUUUAAAGGAAAAUACCAAUCCGGUGGUUUUAGGAACCAAAACUCUUGGUGCAAAUCCAAGUAAAAGUAAUG